RNAcentral lists this ribosomal RNA (253 nucleotides) under uncultured bacterium. RNAcentral's name for it is "partial 16S ribosomal RNA". It matches the Rfam family "Bacterial small subunit ribosomal RNA", at positions 524 to 776 of the family's 1533-position model. The record is from RNAcentral.
UACGGGGGGGGUAAGCGUUGUCCGGAAUUAUUGGGCGUAAAGCGCGCGCAGGCGGUCCUUUAAGUCUGAUGUGAAAGCCCACGGCUCAACCGUGGAGGGUCAUUGGAAACUGGGGGACUUGAGUACAGAAGAGAAGAGUGGAAUUCCACGUGUAGCGGUGAAAUGCGUAGAGAUGUGGAGGAACACCAGUGGCGAAGGCGACUCUUUGGUCUGUAACUGACGCUGAGGCGCGAAAGCGUGGGGAGCAAACAGG